GUGAAACUGCUGACGAGCGGCGGACGGCUGAGUAACGCGUGGGAACGGACCCAAACUGAGGGAGUAACUAGUCGAAGAUUAGCUAAUACCGCAUGUGAUCUUCGGAUUAAAGGAUUUAUCCGGUUUGGGACUGGCCUGCGUAGGAUUAGAUAGUUGGUAGGGUAAUGGCCUACCAAGUCGACGAUCCUUAGAUGGUUUGAGAGGAUGAUCAUCCAGACUGGGACUGAGACACGGCCCAGACUCCUACGGGAGGCAGCAGUAGGGAAUCUUUCACAAUGGGCGAAAGCCUGAUGGAGCCAACGCCGCGUGCAGGAUGACGGCCUUCGGGUUGUAAACUGCUUUUAUAUCCGAGAAAUAUGAUGGUAAGAUAUGAAUAAGGAUCGGCUAACUACGUGCCAGCCGCGGC
RNAcentral lists this ribosomal RNA (406 nucleotides) under uncultured bacterium. Its description in RNAcentral is "bacterial SSU rRNA". It matches the Rfam family "Bacterial small subunit ribosomal RNA", at positions 79 to 518 of the family's 1533-position model. The record is from RNAcentral.